GACGAACGCUGGCGGCGUGCUUAACACAUGCAAGUCGAACGGUAAGGCCCUUCGGGGUACACGAGUGGCGAACGGGUGAGUAACACGUGGGUGAUCUGCCCUGCACUUCGGGAUAAGCCUGGGAAACUGGGUCUAAUACCGGAUAGGACCCUGGGAUGCAUGUCCUGGGGUGGAAAGCUUUUGCGGUGUGGGAUGGGCCCGCGGCCUAUCAACUUGUUGGUGGGGGGAUGGCCUACCAAGGCGACGACGGGUAGCCGGCCUGAGAGGGUGACCGGCCGCACUGGGACUGAGAUACGGCCCAGACUCCUACGGGAGGCAGCAGUGGGGAAUAUUGCACAAUGGGCGCAAGCCUGAUGCAGCGACGCCGCGUGAGGGAUGACGGCCUUCGGGUUGUAAACCUCUUUCAGCACCGACGAAGCGCAAGUGACGGUAGGUGCAGAAGAAGGACCGGCCAACUACGUGCCAGCCGCCGCGGUAA
Molecule: ribosomal RNA, 478 nt
Filed under: uncultured bacterium
Lineage: Bacteria
Description: partial 16S ribosomal RNA
Rfam family: Bacterial small subunit ribosomal RNA
Source: RNAcentral